This 367-nucleotide long non-coding RNA is filed under the name Coccomyxa subellipsoidea. RNAcentral's name for it is "long non-coding RNA (CSUB_LNC000759)". The record is from RNAcentral. Lineage: Eukaryota; Viridiplantae; Chlorophyta; Trebouxiophyceae; Coccomyxaceae.
GUUGCCGAUACCGGCGGCGCUGCAGACGCGACUCUUGAGAGUAGAGUCAGGUACGCCAUCCCCUUUCACCAUUUGCUUGACCAGGCUCCUGGUCCAAGGAGACCCAUCAGAAUCGAAUAGGAGGUGUACCAAUGUAUGAUGACUCAAGCAUAAGACGGAGGAUUUCUCUCAUGUUGCAGGUGCUGAUGACAGCUCAGCAAAUGCCACUGAUGGCGAGGAGGGCGCAGAAGCGUCAGAUGGGGACCUGAAGUCAGAGCCGGCCUCGACAGCCGCAGCUGCAGCCAAUGCUGCCAGGGCCGCUGCCGCGGCGCGGGCAGCUUCCCGACUGAGAGAAGAGGAAAUGAAGCGCAGGAGCUUGGAAGAAGAG